This 301-nucleotide ribosomal RNA is filed under the name uncultured bacterium. RNAcentral's name for it is "partial 16S ribosomal RNA". It matches the Rfam family "Bacterial small subunit ribosomal RNA", at positions 509 to 807 of the family's 1533-position model. The record is from RNAcentral.
CAGUCGCCGCGGGAAUACGGAGGGGGCUAGCGUUGUUCGGAAUUACUGGGCAUAAAGCGCACGUAGGCGGAUCGAUCAGUCAGGGGUGAAAUCCCAGAGCUCAACCCUGGAACUGCCUUUGAUACUGUCGAUCUGGAGUAUGGAAGAGGUGAGUGGAAUUCCGAGUGUAGAGGUGAAAUUCGUAGAUAUUCGGAGGAACACCAGUGGCGAAGGCGGCUCACUGGUCCAUUACUGACGCUGAGGUGCGAAAGCGGGGGGAGCAAACAGGAUUAGAGACCCCAGUAGUCCCUGUCUCUUAUAC